UAGAACUGACCAGCUCUGAGUAGGCGGACAAGAUAAGAUUCUGGUGCUAAAUAGCUAAGUAUAUGACCCUGAUUCAUA
Molecule: non-coding RNA, 78 nt
Organism: Tupaia belangeri (northern tree shrew)
Lineage: Eukaryota; Metazoa; Chordata; Mammalia; Scandentia; Tupaiidae
Source: Rfam